AUGGGUGGCGACCGAGACAGGAAUCCUAAUGUCACAUCAAAAGUGACUCGGGAUGUUUCCCUGAUGGCCCGUUGGAUGGCAAUUGACCUGUACAUCCGACAACUAGACAGUCUCAGCUUUGAGUUAUCCAUCAGGAAAUGUAGCGAUAAGCUUGUAACCUUAGCCAAUGAAAUCUUGCUCGAAGACUCAGAGUCGACAUCGGAAGAGAAGAAGGCCAGUCCUUGGACCAAAACAGGACCAGAAAACAACUUAAAACUGCCGCCUAGGUUGGGGAUGCCUGCUCAGCUUCCUUCUGGUGCUGAUCUUCCAUCAUUGACAGAAUGCAAUGAUAGCGAAUCUCAAUUCAGAAUGGUAAAACUUCCAUGCAACCCGAAACAUCAG
This 381-nucleotide ribosomal RNA is filed under the name Triticum aestivum (bread wheat). RNAcentral's name for it is "partial small subunit ribosomal RNA". Lineage: Eukaryota; Viridiplantae; Streptophyta; Magnoliopsida; Poales; Poaceae. The record is from RNAcentral.